AAGUAUUCUAGAAUAGGAAGGAACCCAAAAUCAUGAAAUUCUUAUUUAUUUUUCCUUUUCAAUUCUAAACUUCCCUUCUACUAGCUCUUCUGUCACUUGCGAGCCACCAAGCCAUCGCCACACCAGUCAACUGCAACAGUCCAUCUGCUGCCAGCUAUAGCGUCGAUCAUCCCUAGCUGUGGCUGACCUUACCAUCAAUUGUUAGUCCUCUUCUCCAUUGAUAAGGGAAGAAGAUUGUGUGAAGAAAUUUGCCAUGGAAAAUGAAAAGAUUGAACACUUAAGGAAACAAAUUUUGAGAAGAUUGAGAUUGACAAAGUCAGUGGCAGUUAAAAGCGUAAAGAUUAGUAAUCAACAAAGUUAUCUCAACUAAUCACAUGAAGGAAUUUGGUUAGUUUCGGGUUGUUACACAUACUCUCUCAAGAGAUCCAAGUGAAGAAGACGGAGCAGACCAACCAACAAACCCAUCAUCUCCGAGUCCUAGCACACCUUAAAGUACAAGAUCAUCCCCAAGCUUAGGAAGCCAAACAUGAUGCUUGACUCCUCAACAUCAAGAAGCCCGAAGAUCAACACGGGAUAGACAACAGCCAACAUGGCUACAAGAUUACCAUUGUGACCAAGCAAUGAUGGCUCUGUUCUCUGGUGAGCCACAAACAUUUCAAGAAGCAGCACAAUAAGAAACAUGGAUCGAGGCUAUAAAUGAAGAAAUCAAAAUGAUCAAAAAGAACUACACAUGAGAGCUUGCAGACAAGCCACAAGACAAGGAAGUCAUCGGACUCAAGUGGGUGUACAAAGUGAAGCAAAACGAUGCUGGCUCCAUCAAUAAGUACAAAGCAAGGCUCGUUGCAAAGGGAUAAGUACAACUAUCGGGAAUCGACUUCAACGAAACAUAUGCCUCAGUUGUCCGCAUGGAGACAAUCAGAACAGUCCUGGCAUUAGCAGCACAACAUCAGCUACCAAUCUUUCAGCUCGAUGUCAAAUCAGCAUUUCUAAAUGGAGAACUCGAAGAAGAAGUGUACGUCGAGCAACCGUAGGCAUAAGUCAUCAAAGGCCAAGAAGAAAAAGUAUACCACCUUUGAAAAGUUCUUUACGAUCUCAAACAAGCACCUCGAGCGUGGAACAGCAAUAUCGAUAACUAUCUUCUCCAGCAUGGUUUCAUCAAGAGUCCGAGUGAACCUUCACUAUACAUUAAGACGCAAGGUAAUGAGAAGUUAUCACUGGCUACACCAAUGAUAAAUAAUGAGAAGUUAUCAAAGAAUGAUGGCAAACCAAAAGUCGACGGAGCAAUGUAUCGAAGCCUGGUUGGUUCUCUCAUUUAUCUAACACACAAGACCAGAUACAGACAACGCUGUCAGCAUCGUAUCAAGGUUCAUGAAUGAACCGAGUAAGGAUCAUCUAAUAGCAACAAAGAGGAUUCUCAUAUACAUUAAGGGAACGAAGAGCUAUGGGAUCAUGUAUGAGACUGAAAAAGAUUUGAAGCUCACAGGAUACACCGAUAAGUAGUGUGGAUGAUAGAAAAAGCACAAGCGGAUACAUAUUUCAGCUUGGAACCAAGGUGGUUUCAUGGUCAUUAAAAAAGCAGGCAACGAUAGCUUUAUCAUCAGUAGAAGCAGAAUACAUUGCAGUAACAAGUGCAGCAUGUGAAGCAGUCUGGCUCAGAAGGAUAUUGAUCGAUCUGCAACAUAAGCAAGAAACACCAACUACAAUGUUCAGAGACAACAUGUCAACAAUAGCAAUGACGAAGAAUCCAGUGUUUCAUAGUAGAUCAAAACACAUCGAGAUACGACAUCAUUACAUUUGAGAGUUGGUAGACAAGAAAGAGAUUAAACUACAGUUCUGCAAGACGGGGGAGAAGAUCGCAGACAGAAACCAUAUCAACUGAUAGAUUUUUCGAGUUCAGAAGACAACUCAUAGUUUAAGAUUUUUUAGAUUCAGGGGAGGGUUAAAAUAAUUUAAAAAAAUCUAAGAUUUUAAAAAUAUUAAACAUCAAAA
Amaranthus tricolor (Joseph's coat) is the source of this 1989-nucleotide long non-coding RNA. RefSeq lists it as uncharacterized. The record is from RefSeq and is a predicted model, not a curated record. The transcript is spliced from 4 exons. NCBI's taxonomy places the organism in Eukaryota, Viridiplantae, Streptophyta, Magnoliopsida, Caryophyllales, Amaranthaceae.